UUGGAGAAGUUUGAUCCUGGCUCAGAUUGAACGCUGGCGGCAGGCCUAACACAUGCAAGUCGAGCGGAUGAAGGGAGCUUGCUCCUGGAUUCAGCGGCGGACGGGUGAGUAAUGCCUAGGAAUCUGCCUGGUAGUGGGGGAUAACGUCCGGAAACGGGCGCUAAUACCGCAUACGUCCUGAGGGAGAAAGUGGGGGAUCUUCGGACCUCACGCUAUCAGAUGAGCCUAGGUCGGAUUAGCUAGUUGGUGGGGUAAAGGCCUACCAAGGCGACGAUCCGUAACUGGUCUGAGAGGAUGAUCAGUCACACUGGAACUGAGACACGGUCCAGACUCCUACGGGAGGCAGCAGUGGGGAAUAUUGGACAAUGGGCGAAAGCCUGACCAGCCAUGCCGCGUGUG
RNAcentral lists this ribosomal RNA (399 nucleotides) under Pseudomonas aeruginosa. Its description in RNAcentral is "bacterial SSU rRNA". It matches the Rfam family "Bacterial small subunit ribosomal RNA", at positions 1 to 405 of the family's 1533-position model. The record is from RNAcentral. Lineage: Bacteria; Pseudomonadati; Pseudomonadota; Gammaproteobacteria; Pseudomonadales; Pseudomonadaceae.